Molecule: ribosomal RNA, 253 nt
Filed under: uncultured bacterium
Lineage: Bacteria
Description: partial 16S ribosomal RNA
Rfam family: Bacterial small subunit ribosomal RNA
Source: RNAcentral
UACGUAGGGUGCAAGCGUUGUCCGGAAUUAUUGGGCGUAAAGAGCUCGUAGGCGGUCUGUCGCGUCUGCUGUGAAAACUCAGGGCUUAACCCUGAGCUUGCAGUGGGUACGGGCAGACUAGAGUGCGGUAGGGGAGACUGGAAUUCCUGGUGUAGCGGUGAAAUGCGCAGAUAUCAGGAGGAAUACCGGUGGCGAAGGCGGGUCUCUGGGCCGUAACUGACGCUGAGGAGCGAAAGCAUGGGGAGCGAACAGG